CACUUAUUUGGCUCCACUAAUACUUGGGACUCUGUAAAAACAAAUUUUCUUCAGCCCCUUCUUUUUUUUUUUUUUAAAAAAAAAAGAAAAGGCAAACUCAUAACAAUCUUUGGGAUUAGUAAGAAAUAAAAGAAAGAAUCUUUCAAAGAAAAUCAAAAGGUGUGCCAGCAGUUGCGGUGAUACUACUUGUUCUAUUUACAGUUAAUAAUUUGCAAAUUUGAAAUCUUUCUUAAAGAAAAUAGUUGACGCCAGCAACCUUAUUUCAUCUAAUAAAGAAGUUGUUGAAAUAAUUUUUUAAAUUCAAAUUUUUGAAGCAGGAUUGCCAGAAUCUCAUUAGAUAAGAGAGUAUGCCUUUUAAAAUAAAGCAAAUUAACCAAAAUAUUUGGCGGUCUUCAAAACUUGUUUAGAUGGACUUGUUUAGUAAAUGAUAGUACACAAUUAUCUUGCCUAUCUUAAAAAUCUCUAUAUUUUUGUUUGUGAUUAUUUUUUGUAAAACUAACUUUAAAUUACCAAAUUCAAUAAAACCAAAAGGGGUUUUACUUGAAGAAAAACAAAUCAAUAUGGUGUUCAUAGAUAGGGUGAGAAGGAGUCACUUAAUAUUUUUUUAAAAAAAAUCAUGUUUGGAAUGCUCAAAUGAAAUUAGAGUAAAGAAACAGAAUUUAAUAGUAAUAACUGAAAAAAAAAUCUGUUAUGAAUAGAAAAAUGGAGGUGUUCAUACUGCCCAACAAUUCUCUUUUCUCUUUUCUCUUUUCUCUUUUCUCUUUUCUCUUUUCUCUUUUCUCUGCUCGUUGUUGUUAAAUCCGUUAUCCGUUGUCCGUUUCCUGUUGUCCGUUUCCUGUUGUCCGUUUUAGAAAAAAAAAGAAAGAGAAGAGAAAGAGAAUAAGUUGUCACAAGGUUAGCAUACGGAAAUGUGUGCUAGAAAUCGU
This 926-nucleotide ribosomal RNA is filed under the name Isodiametra pulchra. RNAcentral's name for it is "12S ribosomal RNA". The record is from RNAcentral. Lineage: Eukaryota; Metazoa; Xenacoelomorpha; Acoela; Isodiametridae.